Non-coding RNA from Pelobates cultripes (western spadefoot toad), 3051 nucleotides. NCBI's taxonomy places the organism in Eukaryota, Metazoa, Chordata, Amphibia, Anura, Pelobatidae. The record is from the annotation of a GenBank genome assembly.
GUUAAGAAUUAUGGAUAUAAAAUAUAGCAUACUAUAUAUAGUGUACUUAAAUAUAUUCAUUCAUAUAUAGGUGUGAUUUAUUUAAAGGACCAGUAAUGAUAUGAAUUGUGGUUUAAAUGUCAGAUCAUUAUUUUAUAAAAUGUGGCUUUUGAUUAUAGCAAAGCAUUUUAGGUAUGGUUGAUCCAUACUUAAUGGUAGAUGAUGUUUAAAAAGCUAUGUGCACUUUAAAUUUUAGGUGUGUGAAAACUGUUUGCAUGUAAAAUGAGCUUGAUUAAGUUGAAUCUAUUAACUGAGCACAUUCAGUAACAGUUGGUCAGUACCAUCUAUAUCUGCUGGACUUAUAGGUCAGCAGAAUCUGAGACAUUGUCAAUAGAUAUUUUGCCAAAGUUCAUACUGUGUUCAAAUACCACAGAUUUUUAGCUAUUUAUAAUAGGGCUUGGUAUAGAAACCCAUGACUUGGGAUCACAGUAGAUCCUGUUCAUACCCAUGGGAUUGUAUAUAUUACAUGGCGCAAGAAGGGAUUGGCCUCAAGCAAAAAGAUACAGAGUUAUCCCCAAAGUGAAAAGAGAUUUAAAACAUGGUAGAAAGCAAGUGGUGGAAAUAAACACUAACAGCCCAGAGAUUACUGUGUUUCUCCAAAGGUUCCGUAAUUAGUUAUCAAGCUUGUGGCUUCUGGAUCGUAACCGUCAAGAUUCCAAGUAUAAACAUUAUAGAACACAGUACAGUUCAAAUAGGGAAAGAUUGUAAUGAAAAUGUGCAUGAACUCUCUUACAUUCUAAUGUUAGGAGUCCUAAAUUAUAUAUAAUGUAUAAUAUAUAAGCUUUUCUUUGGUAAGAAUUUAUACUUCCAAGUUAAUUUCAUGCAUUUUGCACUUGCUGCUUCAUUAAAAAACUCACCAGAUAUCUAGGAUUACAAAUUAAUUGGAUACCCCGCUUGUCCCCAUUAAAAAAAAAAUCACAGAUUUCAAGAGAGAUUGGCACUUUUAAGUUGAUUAGGGAAAAUUUAGAAUCAGCUUUCUGGCAGUCGAGUUGACAACCAGGAGGGCUCCUGGUCUACAUUGCUUGAAAGAACGUUUAAAGGAGCACUAUAGGGUCAGGAACACAAACCUUUAUUCCUGACCCUCUUGGGUUAAAACCACCAUCUAGCCCCCCUGGGCACCUCAUGCCUCUAAAAAUAUUGUAAAAUCUUACUUGAAUUCAAGCCUGCAGCUGCAUAGUUUGUCCCUGUUUCCUUUAGACCUGCCUGCUGACAUCAGCAGAAGUGGUAGCCUGCUCCAAUCACAGUGCUUCCCCAUUGGAUUGGAUGAGACUGACAAACAGGCAGAUAUGGGGCAGAGCCAGCACAAUUCAAACACAGUCCUGGCCAAUCAGCAUCUCCUCCUAGAGAUACAUUGAAUCAAUGAAUAUCUAUGAGGAAAGUUCAGUGUCUGCAUGCAGAGGGAGGAUAUUCUGAAUGUUUGGAUGCAUUUUAGGCAGCCAUGACCCAGGAAGGAUCUCUAUCAGCUAUCUAAGGAGUGGCCAGUGAAGUUAUCACUAGGCUGUAGUAUAAACACUGCAUUUUCUCUGAAAAGACAGUAUUUACAGCAAAAAGCCUGAACGUUAUGAUUCUACUCACCAGAACAAAUUCAAUAAGCUGUAGUUGUUCUGGUGACUAUAGUGUCCCUUAACUUACUUUUUUUUGUUAUGCCGAAAAGAUUAUAUGGAUGACUUACAAAAUGUCUCCCAAGCUAAUGUCAGUCAAGUUCAAUAUUCUAUCUUCAGUCAGCAAAAGUUACUAAGAGAAGUUCAUAAUGUUUUAAUUAGAUAAUCCAUUUCAUUGCUGUCUGCUGAUUGUCCUUUUGCAUAGUUAUUGGGUCAUUUGUUAUAUCAUAACUAAAUACAGGCAAAAUUAGUUUUAUCUCACUCAAUUGAUUAUAUUGCUUGGAGUCCUCUGGCACUGUCCCUCCAUUCAGUGUUCUCCCAUUUUCAAGCAGUCUAAAACUAAAAGCCUGAAGGUAAUGAUUCUACUCAUCAGAACAAAUUCAAUAAGCUGUAGUUGUUCUGGUGAAUAUAGUGUCCCUUUAAGCGGAAGGGAAGAGUUUCUGUAGGGAAGCAUAACUAAAUUCUUCCCUAGAAGAAGCAUUCUGUUGGACAAUCGCCUCAUUUGAUUGACAUAUUCACAGCAAUCGUCACACAGGCACUGAUUUUCUUUCCACAGGAAGGGGAGACUAUCCUCACUAAUAGUCUAACUGGGUUUGGAGCGAGCAACAGCGAGUAGUAACUCACCACUGAAUAAAAUUAUGAAUAAACAAUAUUUUUCCUUUGGGGAGGGGGCGGGGUGUAGACAUCUGGCACUGUUAGGAAUAAAGGAACAUUCCGAUCUUUAAAACCUAAUAUUGUUUUUUUUUUUAAAUUUAAAUGUUCGCAAUCGGAAUUUACGAACUCAAAUAAGUGGCAGUUUACCGUCAUAAGUAUGGAAGAGAUAUAAUCUUUACCUAGAAUUAUGGUUUUCGUCAGACCCUUAAGAUAUUUGCAUAUAUGUAUGUAUAUAGAGACUGUGAGUGAGGGUGAAUGAACUGAAAACCCUGCAUUUGUAUGGAUAUUUAUAAAAUUUAUAAUGGGGGGUUUCAUAAGGACAAUCAAAUUGAUUUUCCUUGGGAAAUUUUUAGAACUUCUCCCCAGAAUGCGCUAACUCCCAAUCUGCAUAUUAUAUAUAUAUAUAUAUAUAUAUAUAUAUAUAUAUUGUCAUCAAUAAAAUCAAUUUAUUUUUCUUUUCUGAAACCUCUCGUUUGUGCCUUUAGAAUUAAUACUUGAACACGUUCCUCCUAUGUAUCACCUAAGUUUGAUAAAGUUUCUUAUCCAGAUACUACCAAUAAAACAUUCCAAAAUAGCAUAAAACAAUGCAAAUAAAAAUAUAUUAUGCCAAAGUUGUUUCAUCUUGGAGAACCACAAUAAUUCUGGCGUUUGAAUGCAUCUGAAACAAUAUUGCAUAUAUUCAGUCACUUUGUCCUUGUAAAAAGCAUUUGUUGAAAUGUGUACAGUAUGUGCGUAAUAAAGUCUUAUUUAUUGUCCA